This 492-nucleotide ribosomal RNA is filed under the name uncultured bacterium. RNAcentral describes it as "partial 16S ribosomal RNA". It matches the Rfam family "Bacterial small subunit ribosomal RNA", at positions 29 to 507 of the family's 1533-position model. The record is from RNAcentral.
AGUGAACGCUGGCGGUAGGCCUAACACAUGCAAGUCGAACGGCAGCACAGUAAGAGCUUGCUCUUACGGGUGGCGAGUGGCGGACGGGUGAGGAAUACAUCGGAAUCUACUUUUUCGUGGGGGAUAACGUAGGGAAACUUACGCUAAUACCGCAUACGACCUACGGGUGAAAGCAGGGGAUCUUCGGACCUUGCGCGAUUGAAUGAGCCGAUGUCGGAUUAGCUAGUUGGCGGGGUAAAGGCCCACCAAGGCGACGAUCCGUAGCUGGUCUGAGAGGAUGAUCAGCCACACUGGAACUGAGACACGGUCCAGACUCCAACGGGAGGCAGCAGUGGGGAAUAUUGGACAAUGGGCGCAAGCCUGAUCCAGCCAUACCGCGUGGGUGAAGAAGGCCUUCGGGUUGUAAAGCCCUUUUGUUGGGAAAGAAAAGCAGCAGGUUAAUACCCCGCUGUUCUGACGGUACCCAAAGAAUAAGCACCGGCUAACCUCGUG